CUCGGGGAGGUGGGGGGGCCCUCAGCCCAGAUUGCGAGAGGGUGCAGGCCAGACCUAGGGACCCCACCAGUGCACU
RNAcentral lists this microRNA precursor (76 nucleotides) under Myotis lucifugus (little brown bat). RNAcentral's name for it is "mir-9193 microRNA precursor family". It matches the Rfam family "mir-9193 microRNA precursor family". The record is from Rfam by way of RNAcentral. Lineage: Eukaryota; Metazoa; Chordata; Mammalia; Chiroptera; Vespertilionidae.